Molecule: ribosomal RNA, 253 nt
Filed under: uncultured bacterium
Lineage: Bacteria
Description: partial 16S ribosomal RNA
Rfam family: Bacterial small subunit ribosomal RNA
Source: RNAcentral
UACGUAGGGUGCAAGCGUUGUCCGGAAUUAUUGGGCGUAAAGAGCGUGUAGGCGGCUCGACAAGUCUGCUGUGAAAGUUCAGGGCUCAACCCUGGAAUGCCGGUGGAUACUGUCGAGCUAGAGUCCGGAAGGGGCGAGUGGAAUUCCUGGUGUAGCGGUGAAAUGCGCAGAUAUCAGGAGGAACACCAAUGGCGAAGGCAGCUCGCUGGGACGUGACUGACGCUGAGACGCGAAAGCGUGGGGAGCGAACAGG